Molecule: ribosomal RNA, 468 nt
Filed under: uncultured bacterium
Lineage: Bacteria
Description: partial 16S ribosomal RNA
Rfam family: Bacterial small subunit ribosomal RNA
Source: RNAcentral
GACGAACGCUGGCGGCGUGCUUAACACAUGCAAGUCGAACGGAAAGGCCCUGCUUUUGUGGGGUGCUCGAGUGGCGAACGGGUGAGUAACACGUGAGUAACCUGCCCUUGACUUUGGGAUAACUUCAGGAAACUGGGGCUAAUACCGGAUAGGAGCUCCUGCUGCAUGGUGGGGGUUGGAAAGUUUCGGCGGUUGGGGAUGGACUCGCGGCUUAUCAGCUUGUUGGUGGGGUAGUGGCUUACCAAGGCUUUGACGGGUAGCCGGCCUGGGAGGGGGACCGGCCACAUUGGGACUGAGAUACGGCCCAGACUGCAACGGGAGGCAGCAGUGGGGAAUAUUGCACAAUGGGCGGAAGCCUGAGGCAGCAACGCCGCGUGCGGGAUGACGGCCUUCUGGUUGUAAACCGCUUUCGCCUGUGACGAAGCGUGAGUGACGGUAAUGGGUAAAGAAGCACCGGCUAACUACGUG